UACGUAGGGUGCAAGCGUUGUCCGGAAUUAUUGGGCGUAAAGAGCUUGUAGGCGGUUUGUCGCGUCUGCUGUGAAAUUUCGGGGCUCAACCCCGAACUUGCAGUGGGUACGGGCAGACUAGAGUGUGGUAGGGGGAGACUGGAAUUCCUGGUGUAGCGGUGAAAUGCGCAGAUAUCAGGAGGAACACCGAUGGCGAAGGCAGGUCUCUGGGCCAUAACUGACGCUGAGAAGCGAAAAGCAUGGGGGAGCGAACAGG
Molecule: ribosomal RNA, 256 nt
Filed under: uncultured bacterium
Lineage: Bacteria
Description: partial 16S ribosomal RNA
Rfam family: Bacterial small subunit ribosomal RNA
Source: RNAcentral